This 82-nucleotide transfer RNA is filed under the name Daphnia pulex (common water flea). It matches the Rfam family "tRNA". From Rfam's summary of the family: Transfer RNA (tRNA) molecules are approximately 80 nucleotides in length. Their secondary structure includes four short double-helical elements and three loops (D, anti-codon, and T loops). The record is from Rfam by way of RNAcentral. Lineage: Eukaryota; Metazoa; Arthropoda; Branchiopoda; Diplostraca; Daphniidae.
GCAGAUAUAGCCGAAUGGUUAAGGCGACUGACUCGAAAUCAGUUUCCAUCUUGGAGCGUAGGUUCGAAUCCUACUAUCUACG